Molecule: long non-coding RNA, 23403 nt
Filed under: Solanum tuberosum (potato)
Lineage: Eukaryota; Viridiplantae; Streptophyta; Magnoliopsida; Solanales; Solanaceae
Description: long non-coding RNA (STUB_LNC008392)
Source: RNAcentral
CAAAUAUAAUCCAGGCUUGUCAUUGAAGCAUGAAUAAUUAGCGUAAAAGAAAACAUAUCCCGCGAUGUAAACAUCACUCUUAUCAUCAUAUUUUGAUCGGAACUCCUCAACUUGUCCUUCCACCACAGGGAAUUUAAGGUCAAACGUUGUAAGGACAGGCUUGAACCCUCCGUUUGUUGUAUUUUUGGGUUCUUUAAAAGGGGUGGGAGAGACUUCAAGUAUAAGUAUGGAUGGCCCGUAGAAAAGUGGUAGAGGGUUUUCUUUAAAGAGCAAGUUAGCUAAGGAGGACUCAGUAGCUUUGUAUAAAUGAGUAUAGUUAUGGUAUACAUGUAUUUGGUAAAACAAUUGGUAUAUAUGAGACAGAUCAGACAUUGUAGCGAGACGAACUCUUGUAUAUAUCUUUCGAGUGAUGGUAACGUUAUUGUUUUCCGAUGAUGCAUCGGUGAUUAUUGUUUCACAUGGAGUAAGAAGUUGAAGAGCAGGAGCCAUGGGAUAUUAUAUUGUUUAGUUAAGUUUGAUCGAGGAAUAUUGAGGUUUAAGAUAAAAGAAAUGUUGAAAGGUUUAGUAAUGGGAUAAUAUUGUGUUUGGGAUCAUAAUGGUUAUUUAUAGUGAAGAAUUUGACCCUUUUUAAAAUUUGGAAUUUGCUCCGAUUCCCUCUAUUUUAUUUUCAAAUUUAGUAAAAAAAAAUAUUUCCUACAAAUUUUAAAAUCCAUUAAUUUGUAUAUUUUCCAGCUAGACAUGGAGAGUUUAAUUUUCUGUUUUUAGCCUUUUAUAGGAGAGAUUGACGUGAUGUAUUUUGGAGGUAAGGUUUGGUCCCCUCGUGUUCCACCUUUUUGAUGGAAUACAACACAUUUAAAAUUAUAGAAUAUGAAUCUAACAAGAUUUUUAUUUAACGUGACAAAUAAUAACCCUCAAAACAUUUGCCGGUAAAAGAAUAUUUUCUUUUAUUUCACGGAAAAAAAGAAGAAGAUAAAAGAAUAUUCUUAAAAACAUACUUCUUUCUUUUUCCCCUUCAAAAUACAUAUGUAGCCACACUUUCUCCUUUUAACCUUGUGAUAAUUUUGGUAUUUUAUAUUUGUAAUUUUGAUAAUCUCUAAAAAUUAUUUUUUAUUUCUUGUUCUUUAUUUUUAGGUUUUUGUUCACAUUGAUAAUCUUAACUUCUUUUAUUUGUUUUCAUUUCUCAACACAUAGUAUUUCAAAGACAAAAUUUACUGUCAUUUAGAUAUGUACUUGACAAAAUUUUGGAGAAAACAUAAUGGAGAGGAGGUGGAGAUGAUUUUUCCAACGAUAAAAAAUUCUGGUAAUCAUCAUUUCAAAAGUGAUUUCUAAAGAGUUAAGUCAUUCAUAUAAUUGGUUUGAGUUAUCCAUCAAAAUUUGGCCACCAUUUUUUAUGUAGUUGAUAGUAUUAACUAUUCUUCUCAUAAUUUUUACAUGAUAUUAUAUUAUUUUUAGUUAGUUCCAAAAGAAAAUGACGCAUUGUAAAAGUAACUAAUGUUAUCAAUAUUUUAGUUAUGUUGAGUUUCAUUUAUGGGUAAAAAAAAACCAUAGAAGGGUACCCUUCUUGAGGAGAUAGAUUCGGAACAUUGCAAAAUCAUCCCUUAUUUCUUAAGUUUCGUGUCCAUUAUCCAAUUAAACUAUGUCACAAAAAUUUGAACCGAGAAAAUACUCUUUAAUAAUUAAAAAAGAAAAGAACCAAGUGGGUUUAUAGGACCACGCAAAAUAUCAUAAACAUGUUAUAUAAACACUGUAGGAACAAACUGACAAUUUCUUAACAUAAAAAUGUUGACUUUUUCAUCAACUUCUUAUCGUACAAACUACAAAUGUAAACAUCUACGAAGGAACCGAUGAUUCAUCCCAAAAAAAAAAUGUUGACAAUUUUAGCAAUAUGGAUAAAAAUUCUAUGAAUUACAUAUGCGACUUGAGAUUAAAGUCAAAUAAUCAAGUCGUUAACAUUGUGGAACAUGCUUUAGAGAAAAAAUAUUUUCCUUUUAAAUGAACUUUAUCGUGAAUUUUCCAUGAUUCCGUAAGUGGAAAUUAAGUCGAUCACGCAAAUAAUUCAUGAAACAUGUGUUUCCCUAAAUGGAAAUUAAGUCCAUCACGCAAAUUUGUUGAAUGUUGUAAGACAAUGACAAUCCUAGUUAGGGCGUCUAUAGUACAGUUUAAUCAGUUAUUUUUCAAAAAUUUAUAUCAUAUUAAUUUUUGGUUAUUUUAUUUUGUAUGAUAAAAAUUAGACUUUGUGAGAUCGUCUCAUCAUAUCGAUUUUUCUAUAAUAUCGAUGUGGGUUCAAUAAUGUUCAGUAUAUUUAAAAAAAAACAUUUUUUAGAUAUUUUUUAAAAAAAAACUCUCUAGAUUAUAUUUUUUACUAUUUAAAAGGUGGUGAAUUUUGAAAAAUGAUAAUAAUAGUGAUGCACAACGGGAUAAAAUAUAUUCCUAAUAUCUUAUAACUCUCUACUCAAGAUCGUUAAUAACUUUUGUAGAUUUUACACAAAUUUCAUAGUGUUAACAGCUAAUUACAUCUUAUCCCUACUCUUUUUCAAAUUACAAAAAUCCCUUAAAUUUGGUGGAAUCCAGAUAUAUUCGAAACCAUCACGAUACACUGUGUCCUGGUUUCAAAUACAUCCCUGAUACAUCGCGUCUCAAUUUCAAAUACAUCACUCAACGUCAUGAUACAUCACGUAUGUCCCGAUAUAUCGCGUAAUGUAAUAUAUCCGAUUGAUACAUCACGUAAAGCAAUGUAUUCAACCAAUACGUCACAUAAAAUAAAAUUUUUUGUAAUUUUUUUAAAUGAUAAGAAUUUUAGAGAAUAUAGUAAAAUAAAUAUUGUGUUUAGGUAAUUUUUCCUUACUUGUAACCACUCAAGAUGUGAUGCAACUUAUAUUUGAUUUCAUCCUUCCAAUAAGGCCCAAAAUGAAAACUUUAAUUUAAUGCAUCAUUGGAUAUUAUUCCUCUGGUCAGUUUGUUUAGCACAAAUAUGAUUAGUCAUGACAAUAAACGUUGGAAACAAUAAUUAUCCAGGAAACACGUGUUUCUGUAAAUGGAAAUUAAGUCAAUCACGCAAAUUUGUUGAAUAUUUUAAGACAACGACAAUCCUAGUAGAAGUAUCUAUAAUACGAUUCAAUUAGUUAAUUAUUUUUUACAAAUUAUAAUUGUACAAAUUUUUAGUUAUAUUAUUUUGUGUAAUAAAAAUUAGACUUUGUAAUACCGUCUUAUCAUAUUGAUUUUUUUUCAUAUUAAUGUGGUUUCAUUAAUUUUUAGUAUUUUUCUUAAAACGUCAUGUAAGAAUCAGAAGUAAAAAUUAGAAUAGGAUAAUAUGUAAAUAUUCUUUCGUAAAAUUUCUGAAAAAAAUUCUAGGAUUCUUUUACUAGUUAAAAAAUUGUGAAUUAGAAAAACUUGAAAGAUGAAAAUAAGAUAUAUACCAAUUUGCUAUUCAAGAUCGUUAAUUAAUAACGUAUAAUUACUCUGCAAAAAGACUUGUCAAACUAAGCAAUAUGCCACUUGCCACGUACCUGGACUGUAAAAGAAAGUGAUUUGGAAGCAGGGCCUCUCGUUCAUUAUCAAAUCUAGGUGCAUUACUAAAAUAUUUUACUAUUUUAUCCUUAAUAUUUUUCUAAUUUUCAAAAUAUCUUUUUCAAAACAAAAUUUCUUUUAACUUAAUUCUCAUCACUCUAUAUUCGUUCUUUUUUUCUUUUUUAACAAAGAUAAUUUAAGUUUUUGCAAAACUAUUGAAUUAAGGUGUUUUAGCUAUUCCACGAAUAUGACUAUUUAUCAACAUUUUUUUUAUCAAAUACAACAAUUGUUUAUCAGUCGUUUUACCAUUUCUAUCCAAACAUGUUUAGUUAUAAGAUCGACUUCAUCACUUAAAAAAUGAUUUUCAACAUUUAAUAAUAUAAGAGAUCAUCUUUGCCAUUUUUGUUUUAUAGAAAGAUAUAAUUCUUUGUGAUAAAGUUUAAAAACAUAGAACCCAGGGAUUUAAUAUAAUAUCACAAUUACCAAUUUUAUUUUUUUUCAAAUUACAAAUAUAAUGAGCAUUCUGGUUUUACAAUAUUAUUACAAAUAGAUACUAAUAAAUUGCACAAUUAAGCACACAAAAAGCCAUUCUCUACUAACAGCUCCCUUCGCCGUUUUCGUCCUUGUUAUCAGCAUACUUUUGAAGAUUUUCACCAUGCAACUUUCCAUACCUGAAUUCAUCAAAAAUUUCAACUCCCAUAUUUAUGUAAAAAUCAUAUGACUUCUUAUUCCAAACUGCCACUAUUCCCUCUACCGAUACGAACCCAUUGUUGGCAGCAAUAGACGCAACUGUUCCAAACAACAAACUCCCCAUUCCCAACUUUCUAUAACUCUCCCUGAAGUAAAGACUCUCAAAAUAAAAUCCAGGCUUGUCAUAGAAGCACGAAUAAUUCGCGUAAAAGAAAGCAUAUCCCGCGAUGUAAACAUCACUCUUAUCGUUCCCAUCAUCAUAUUUGGAUCUGAAUUCCUCAACUUGUCCUUCCACCACAGGGAAUUUAAGGUCGAAGGUUUUAAGGACAGGCUUGAGCCCUUCAUUUGUGGUAUUUUUGGGUUCGUUAAAAGGGGUUGGAGAGACUUCAAGUAGAAGUACGGAUGGCCCGUAGAAAAGUGGAAGAGGAUUUUCUUUAAAGAGCAAGUUAGCUAAGGAGGACUCGGUAGCUUUGUAUAAAUGAGUAUAGUUAUGGUAUUCAUGGAUUUGGUAAAACAAUUGGUAUAUAUGAGACAGAUCAGAUUUCGUAGCCAGACGGACUCUUGUGUAUAUCUUUCCAGUGAUGGUAACGUUGUUGUUUUCCGAUGAAGCAUCGGUGGUUAUUGUUUCAGAUGGUGUAGGAAGUUGAGGAGCAGGAGCCAUGGGAUGUUGUUUAGUUAAGUUUGAGAAGAAUGAGGUUUUAGAUAAAAGAAAUGUUGAAAGGUUUAGUAAUGGGAUAAUAUGGUGUUUGGGAUCAUAUAUAAUGGUUAUUUAUAGUGGAGAAUUUGGUCCUUUGUUAAAAAAAAAACAUUAUUUCGUUAGUGAGGUUGGUGGAGUUGGUGCAAGUGGGAGUGGGUGCAAGAGAUGUUAUAGGUAGGGACCAUGCAAAAAAAAAUAUAGCAAAAAAGUCGAAAAUGUUAAAAUUGUAGGAACAAAUUGACAAUUCUUAACAUAAAAAAUUUUGACUUUGUAUGAACAAAGACUUUCACCAACUACUUAUCAUACAAAUGUUAACAUCUACGAAGAACCGAUGAUCCUUCCAAAAUCAAAUGUUGACAAUUUCAGCAAUAUGGCCAAUAGAAAAUUUAUGAGGUGUGAAAAUCAAAUGAAGUCGUCAACAUUGUCUAGCUCUAUAAUGCUUACCGAGAUGCAUGAAAGCUAAACAAGGAUAAUAUUCAUUCACACCAACCCAGACCGUCGUGAUUGGCACCCACACUAAUCCUCCGGUGGAAGAACCAUUACUACAACCCAACUAAGCAGCCUUGACCCAAAAUACUACACAUUUAAAGAUACGGAAGCAGGUUUGAAUGACUAUAUAAUUAAUACGGAGUCCCCAUAAACUCCGAAAGUUCAACUAACAUCUAACAACUAAUGCGGAAAUACCCCUAGAGCCUGAAAGUCAUUGUACCAAAACACUACUAACAACAAGGGGUACAACCCUGGAACUAAACAACACCUUAAACAACUAGUCUAAGUCCGAAAAGAGUGGACUUAAACAAGAAAGAUCCAUGGCAGCCUGAAAAAACUGGCUCACCCUUGAAUCCGGUCACGCUCAAUAGUCACCUAGCUGAGGUCUAUCAAUAGCCGCCUGAAGAUGCCAUGUACUCAACAAAGAACAAGCAAGUGCAGCAUCAGUACACAACCACAGUGUACUGGUAGGAUCACGCGGCUACCCCAAUAAGUGCAACAUAAGCAAGUAAUUACAACAUCAUAAACAUGCAUAUACCGAACAUAUACAAUAUCAGUCAUCUUAGCAGGAAACAUGUUCAAUUCCACAUUAUCAAUAGUAGGUAGAUACAAAAAUAUCAAUCACAAGUCAAUGGUCCUCUCAUGGAACCCACACCCAAACUGUUAGUGUAUCGAUACGUGGUACCUGAUCCAAUGUUUAUGUCGAAACGUGGCAAUCGAUCCCAUAUUUAUGCCGGAACGUGGCAACCGAUCCAAGUUAGUGUGUCGGAACGCAACACUCGAUCCAUUCAACUAGCCACAAUCAUAAUCACAAGUAUAUUCUCAAAUCAUACAAUCAAGUCAUGAUUCAUGACAUUCAUCAUUCAUCUAUCCUCAUUUAUAAUUAGUGUGAUGAAUAAUGCAACAUUCACAUACAUACAUGUAUUAUAAUGAAGCAAGAGCAAACAUACAUCACACAACAUGAAAUCACAACCAUCACCUACCUCGAAUCCAAGAUUGAAUCCCCUAAGUCACUUGAAUCUUCCCUUUCCGGAUUCUUUUACACUUAUUCUAGGUCUACAACAAUUAAUAUACAAAAGGAUCAACAAUCAAAGGUAUAAUUAUCCGGAUUAUAACAAACUCAAUAACCCAAGACCAAACCCGAUCCCAAUAUCCCAAAUUAGGGCUUUUUCCACCAUAAUUCUCAGAUCAAAACCUUCCCCCAACAAUAAUUACCCAAGAAACUACGUUCUACGGAUCGAAAUACGGAUUCGGGGAGUGAAAACCUUACCUUUAGCCUCAAGAAUGGUGGAAAACGCUCAAGAAAACACCUGGGGUCGUUCCUUUGCUCUCAAAGUCGAAAAGUGCAGAAUAAAACAUUUUUGGGGUUUAUUUCCGACUUAAGUCACGUCUGUCCUGCUAUGGUGGCCCAAGUCCCGCCACAGCGGCUCCGUGCUGGUGGGAAAAUCCCACCUCAGCGGCUUGCACGGAACAAUGAGCAAUUUUAAGAGUUUCAAAACCCCCUUUUCACAACACACCUUCAUCCCACAACUCUCAUAAAAUACCCGCUCGUGCUAAGACCAUUUUCGGAAGUUCUACUAGCCCGAAUUCAAUUCCGUAAAGUCGUACAGAUUCCUUAACGUCUUAGCUAUCUACUCAUAAGAUCAAAUUCACAAUUGGACCUUUCAUUUGCUACCAGAUUUCCCUAGACCUCAUUGACUCUGAUUUCGUCCAAAUCUGGACUAGACUAGAAAAUCUCAAAUUACUACGAAAAGAUUUUCUGGCCCCAAUUCCUUCCCCUAAUUUGGGUUUUCGAUUUUUAGAAAUAUUAUAUUAUUCCUAUUCCACAUUAAUUUGGUAUAAUUUGAUAGUUUAAAGUUCAAUUUCGAUAUUAAUAUAUAAUAGAUAAUUAUGUCUUUGAUUUUUAAAAGAACACCUUUAACUAUAUCAUACUACUAACUUAAAUGGCUAAACAUAUAAAAAUGUUCAAAAGAAAAUACAAAUAAUUUUCUUAUUAAUUAAUUACAAAAUUAAUAAAAUGCACAUACCAAAAUCAUAAUACCGUAUUUCUUGUAUUAAAAACUUUUAUUUCAAAUAUGGUAAUUUGAUAUCUAUCUACCCUGAAGAAUAAUAUAUAAUAUACCACAAUGCUAGCUGCAUCUCCAAUUAAUUAAGUAAAUAAGUAAAUCAUGGAGUUUAUAAAAUAAAUUAAGUACUAUUUUCUACAUCUCAAUAAUUAAUAAUUUAAAAGAUAAUAAAAUAAAUGAAAUAUGAUUAAAGAAUAAAUUAUUUGACUCUUCAAAUUUAAACAUCAUUAUUAAAUUGAAAAGAAAAUAAUAAUACCGUCUUGAUAUAGUCCAAUCUGUUUUUUUUCUCCCAAUCACAACACUCACUUUCGUUACAAAAUUUAUAAUAGACGAUAAAAUUUAGAGGUAGUUAUUACCUUUAUAUUUUUGGUGUGAGAAUUCUAAGCCUAUCAUUGGCGACAUGUCCUAAUAAUUAUUAGAUAAUUUACUGAAAUAUCACUCCAAAAUUAUUAGAUAAUUAAAUAUCACUCCAAAAUAAAAACAUUGGUGCAAAUGACAUCAACAAAUUAAAUUGGAUAAGGAUACACUUGAUAGAUGAGUAUGAACAUUAUUAUUCAUUACGUAACGAACCUUGGACUUUUCAAUAGGUUUUAAUUAAUAGAAAUUAUACUAUAGCUAUUUUUCUAAGUUUGGAGGUUUCCGUUAUUAGCUCGUAAAAAUAAGUACAACUAACGAAGCCUAAGAAUGGAGGAAAGAUGCAUAUCUAAUAUGGCAAGGGAGAAAACCCUGUGAUUUCCCAAAUAAUAUUUGUGCCAAAUAAAAUUAAAUCAUGAAUCACAGAGAUUAUGUUAUAUAUGAUAACCAAUUUAGAAUUAAUACAAAUGUAAUGAGCAUUCUGCUUUUACAAGAUUACAAAUAGAAAUGUAUGAAUUGAACUUUCAACAUAUAAAAGAAAAACACACUAACAACUUCCUUCUUCAUUUUUCUCCUUCUUAUCGGCAUACUUUUGAAGAUUUUCACCGUGCAAUUUUCCAUACCUAAACUCAUCAAAUAUUUCAACUCCCAUAUUUAUGUAAAAAUCAUAUGAUUUCUUGUUCCAAACUGCUACUAUUCCCUCUACCGAUACGAACCCAUUGUUUGCAGCAAUAGAUGCAACUGUUCCAAACAACAAACUCCCCAUUCCCAACUUUCUAUAACUCUCUCUGAAGUAAAGACUCUCAAAAUAAAAUCCAGGCUUGUCAUAGAAGCAUGAAUAAUUAGCGUAAAAGAAAGCAUAUCCCGCUAUGUAAGCAUCACUCUUAUCAUCAUAUUUGGACCUGAACUCCUCAACUUGUCCUUCAACGACAGGGAAUUUAAGGUCGAACGUUGUAAGGACAGGCUUGAACCCUUUGUCCGUGGUAUUUUUGGGUUCGUUAAAAGGGGUUGGAGAGACUUCGAGUAGAAGUACGGAUGGACCGUAGAAAAGUGGAAGAGGGUUUUCUUUAAAGAGCAAGUUAGCUAAGGAGGACUCAGUAGCUUUGUAUAAAUGAGUAUAGUUAUGAUAUUCAUGGAUUUGGUAAAACAAUUGGUAUAUAUGAGAUAGAUCAGAUUUCGUAGCAAGACGAACUCGUGUGUAUAUCUUUCCAGUGAUGGUAACGUUGUUGUUUUCCGAUGAUGAGUUGGUGGUAAUUAUUGCUUCAGAUUGUUGAAGAGCAGGAGCCAUAGUUGUUUAAGGCGAAAGGAGUGAGAUGAAGUAUUUUAGUAAUGGGAUAUUUAUUGUAUGAUGAAAAGAUAUUAGGAUAACAACAUAUUUAUAGUGGAGAAUUUUGUCCCUUUAAAUUUUUUAUAAUUGUUUAUUUGGUUGGUGGACGUCAACUGAAACGUACGUGUUAGAUAAAAGGGUCAGGCAAGUUGCAUCUGAUGAAAUUUCUUUUCUUUUUCCUAUUAAAAUUUGGUGGGAGCCGUAAAUUAAAGUUGACUCAUCUUACAAAUGUAAUCAUUUUAUACUGUAAAAAAAACUAGAAUAAAAAUAUAUCUAAACUAAAUCAUUUAAAAUGGCAAUAAGCUGUUUUCUUUUUAUAAUUUUACCAUAAAAUAGAUACUUAUAUUUUAUGUUCUUUCAUCACUUUUACAGUUUUACUUACGUUAAAAACAUACUAUGAUAUUUCUUUUUUUUUUUUUAAAAAAAAUGAAUGUAAAAGUUCUCAUCUAACGAGAGGACUUUGUCAAAGUUGCCAGUUGCCACUUACGGCGUAACUUCUUAAAGAAAAAUUGACUUUUCUUCCUCCACGUGGUAUAUACUGAGGUCGCAUCAUAAGUAAUUGAAAAUUUUAUUUCGAUGAUUUUGAUUUUUAAUUUUUUAAAAUUAUAUUCACAAUAAUUUAAUUUAAGUUUGAUUUUAAUAUUUUACAAUAUAAUUAUUUAUUCGAUUCACCUUACAUAUUAUAGAUGUAAGUUCAAUUAUAUAUACUUCAGUAUGAUAUGUGUUUUUAUAUAACUAUUAAAUACUGUAUCAAAUAUUAAAGAAAAUGAAAUUUAAUAUUAUACUUCUUCUAUUUUAAUUCGUUGGUCAUAUUUUUCUUUUUAAAUCUGUUUAAAAAAAAAUCUUUGAUUUUUUUUAUCACUCUUUAAUUUUAAUAUUCUACAUGAUAUAUUUUAGAUCGCAUAAUUAUUUUUUAAAAUAUAUUUGACAUAUCUUUAUUUAACACCAUAAAAUUCAAUUUUUUUUUAAUCUUUUACUCUUUCUUUUUAACUUUCUAUCAAAUUAAAACAUGAGAAACAAACUGAAACAAACACACGACCAAAUAUCACAAAUAUAAUAACAAAAUUGAGAUAUUAAAAUUUCAAUAUAAUAAUUAGAUAGCUAUUGUACCAUUUUCAUCCCAAUAUAAUAUUGAAGAAUGGCAUAUAAUAUUACCCUUAUUUAGAAGUGGCACUUCUAAAAGGGACCAAACACAGCAACAAAUACUUGUACAAAAAGUAAUAUUUAUUGUACCAUAAUUUGAUGUCAAGUCAUUGUCUUAUUGGUGAAUAGUACCACUUUUCCGGUAAUGUUAACACGUAUUGAGCCUUUGUUAUUUUCCUUUCUAGGCUGACACAUAUUUACUUUUAAAAUCCGGGUAAUUGGGUCAAUUUGGAUCAAUUUUGGGGAUUCCGUCUAAAUGAGGGGUAAUUUUGGUGAAAUUAGUAACGGGAGGGGUACGAUUAACUUCAUUUUAACGGCGAGGGUAAAGUCAAACAAUAAACCAAAGUUGGGGGGUAUUUUUGACCCCUUUCCCUUGAUUUUUUUCUCACAAAAUUUCAAAUAUCUCACUAUUUGCUUUUUAAAAAAUAAAUUUUCAAUUUUGGCUCGACUGGCUUUCAAAUCUCCUACUCUGAUUAUUCACACCUACACUAAUUUUAUUUACUUUCAAAUAUUUUACCAAUAUUUAGAAAUGACAGUUGUUGGGACGAACACAACAUUAAAAAAUUGUACCGAAAGCUAUCCAAAUUGAACACAACACUAAUUGGUUGUACGAACAGCAAUUUAAUUACAAGUGGGCUCCAUUUCAUUGCUAAUUGAGCUUUAUGGUCUUUUCUUUUCUCCUUAUAUAAAAGAGACACUUUCAAGUUUCAACAUGUUAGCUUAAUGUCAAAUAAUUUAAAAAUAAGGAUAUUUCAAUCAUUUAGGUCUAUGAAAAAGCUGAUGUAUGAAAACUACGUGUCUUUCUUCUAUAAAAGGUUAAGGGCAAAUUGGUCACUGAACCAUAUUAUAUGUGGCAACUUAAUAGCCUAAAGUCCUUUGUGUCCAUUAAUAUUGCUCCACCUGCUAGCCAACAUUUAAGUCAUCUCUGUCUUCUUUCUUUUCUCUCUUGACUAUUAGAAUUAGAAUUAGAAUAGUUGUUGCAAAAAUUCGAGGUUGUGAUGAUGAUUUUCUUCUUUGUUUUCUCCGAGAUUGAGAAAAUUGAUAGUGUAAGAGAGCAAUCGGACCCGUAUCUUGGUGGGGCAACCCGGAUGGAAGGUUAUCCUGCAACCGGUGCUUGCAGUUAUGGCGGUGAUUCCAAUCUCUCUUAUCGUAUUACAAAUCCGAGCUUCAAUGUUUAGAUUUCUUAGGGUCUAUUGAAAAUCGCCUCUUUACCUCCACAAGAUAGAGGUGAGACUACACUGACUUAUUGUUGUUGCAGUUGGAAAAUUCGCAGUUCAAAAAAAUACAACAGAAUUUCUCAUAAAAGUAGCCUUAAGAAUUCAACUACUUCAAUACCAUGCCAUAACAUGACAUUUUAAAUUAUUUGUGUGUUUGCAUGUUUUUGGGAUUUAAUUUUAAUUUUAAUUUUAUUGUUUUUGUUAUUUGUUGAAUCCAAAUAUGAUUCUUUUGAUAUUUGGAAUAGACACAUAACAGUGCUUUAGGUUUAAUCCAUCUCUCGCGUAUGGCAGUAUGUACCUUUUAGUAGACAGAAAGAGCAAACUCAAGUUGCACGGUAAGGUAAGUAUUCAUUUUCACUAUUAGCCUUUUGUUUCUUGGUUCAUUUUGUUGACCGGCUCUAUUCUUCCGAAAAUUUGUUUUGACAUUCAAAAAUCGACUUGACCAUGAAAUCAGUAGACAAUGAAGAAGAAACAGAGCAAGUAGUUUUAGAGCUCUUUAUGUGUGUCGUGGUGUUGUAUCAGGUAAAUUAUUAUAUCGUAUUUUUAUUAUCAUUUUUUGGUUAUCUCUAUUAUUUUUAUUUUUUAUUUUUUUUGGGUUCUACGUUGAGAUUUCUCUGCAUCCAAAGAAGACCCCAAUUCGAUUCUUCUAAUUCUAGGCAGAUUAGGUUGAUUUACUACAUUUGUAGAAUUUGACUCUUUGUUGAAUCCACUAAUUUGGGGGUUAAAAAUCUGGUAGCUCACUAGAUUUGCUUAACUGUUUAUUUACACAUAUUGCUCGAAUGUUAACCUGCUCCCUUUUUUCCUUCACUUUGCACUUUGAAAAUAUUUGUUGUCUAUGUCUUUUGCAUCUUUGUUGUUUCAAAUACAAGUAACUAACAACUAAUCAUUACUUUAUAAUUGUACAGGUAUUCCAUUUCAAGUUCAUAAGGAAGCUACAAGAGUCUAAUUUAUGAAUAGUUACCUUGUGUGUGAUGUUAAAGAGUGUAUUUUAGCAUUUUUAUCAAUAUAAAAAUGAAGUCAUGGACAUUGUUCCAAAAUGUCUAUGAAUUAUGUCUUGAGUUGCUUUUCAAGGAGUAAAGUGUGAGAAAGUAUUGUUUAAUGAAGAAGUUAAAUAGGUGCAAUUCAAUUUUGAGACCAAGUGUUGAGUUGGUCUUUCACAUUAAACUUGAGAAAAAAAAGGAACUAACUUCAGUAAAUGCAUAUUAGUACUAUAGGAUCUUACUCAUUCAUGAUGGCUUUCUUUUGUUACUUAAUUGUAAUUUUCCAAAACCUGUUUUGCUUGAACAGGGUUCAUCGUUUAGGGAAAUAUCAUAUUCGAAAAUAUUUUGCCACGAAUUGACAGGUUUGUUUAUUUGGUUCUUAUAAACUUUUGUAAAUUCUUCCAUACCUCCGUUUUACUUUUUAUUAUUGCGUGAAUCUGCGAAAGUUUUUGAUGUCUUUUAGUGCUAUGAAAGAAAGUCACUUUGAUAAUAGAAGUAUAGUAGGAUUUAUAAAUACUAGGAUUAGUCUAAUAACCUCUAGAAUUCAAAUUUUCGCUAAUGUUUGAGUAUAUUUAUAGUGAGGGACGUUCAUGUCACGAGUUUCAACUCUGACGUCGACCCAAAGUUGGGGAAAGUAUUUAAGUGGAAACAUAACGGAGGGGCAUGUGCAUACUCUUCAGUAUUUCUGAUGAACAAUGAGGUUUGACUAGCUAACUAGAAGGGAAUUUUUCAACUAUUAAAUAAGACUGAGUCUUUUCUCGACUAAAAGGAUGUCUUUUAGUUUUAAACCAUAUACUUCUAUUGUUUUCUCCUUAGAGUUGUUGACCUCAUCCAAUCCUUGUCAUUUUGAUCAAUGUAUUUUGUUCCGCUAGAUUGUUGGACAGAUUGCAGGAGAAACAACACAGUAAAUUGGAUAAUGAAGCUUAUUUGGAUGAGAAUCACAUGCUAUUUAAAAAUAUCCAGUUCCUUGUCGAAGUAUUGCACCCUCUACUCUAUUUUAUUUCGUAUGAAAUCUCUUCUAAUUGCUGAUUUCUACACUUCACAAUCGCACACAUGGGCACAUUGGAUGAUUCUUUUGACGAUCCUUCAUAAUGUGGCAUUUUUAUUCAAGUUGAAAGAAGAGGUAAAGAAGCUUCAAUCAAUCCAGCAAGCUAAAAAUGGCGUUGACAUAGUCUCUGAGAUAAGGGUGAAGACUCAUUAUGCUACACCAAUUGGUGCUGAUCAAAGAAUUGGCCAGUGCUUAUCUAGCAUCUUUAAUUAUUAUUCAUUCUUGUUAAUGAUGAGGUUUAGUUUUGAGGUUUAUUGAAAAAUCAAGGUAAGGUCUACCUACAUUCUACCUUGAUGAGAUCCCACUUGUGGGAUCAAACUAGGUAUGUUGUUGUUAUCGUCGUCAAAUUAGUAAUGUUUUGCUCCAUUUUUCAGAUUCUUAUAUUUGAAUUUGUGCAUAUGAUGUGUCUUUUACUGUAGUCUACAAAGGAGAUCGAAUUGCCACAUACUUUGUUAAGUGGUUGGGGAAGAGUACUAUUGGUUUGUCAUAUGGAUUGGCCCUGAGUGAGGCUUUGAUUGCACCUGCAAUGUCUAGCACUACGGCAAGAGCUGGUGGGGUAUUUUUGCCUAUUAUUAAGUCUCUCACUUUCAGCUGGAAGUAAGCGUGGUGAUCCCUCCUCCAGGAAGCUAGGAUCUUACUUGAUUCAAUCUCAAUUUCAGGUAUGCCUUUGUUUUGCCUGCUAUAGAUGUGUGGUGUGUCACAUAAUUAGAUGAUUUUAAUGAAAUGAAAACACUCUUUAUGGAUACAUGAAUUAGUACUAACCAAAUGAUCCUAUUAAUCAAGAAUUCAAUCUAUAUACACCAAUGGUGAAAAUAGGUUUUGAGCCAUUGAGGUAACAUUAAGUUUGUAACCUGGAAAAUAAGGUUAUUAGCAUGCUAAAAUAGGUUAAGCUAUUAAGUUAUAUCCAUAGGGUAAUUUUUGAGUGAUCUUUGUCUGAAGACUGAUAUUUAUCUUGAAUUUGCAACAGAAGACAUUAUGCAUUUGAUCAAGUAUUACUAUCUUUUCGGUUGUGCAUCUGUCUCUUUGAAGAAUACAUAACAUAAAUGGGGUAUGGAAUGAUGUCAGCUAUAUGAAGCUCUUAACCUGCAAAUUCAUUGCUGAGAACUCAAAUCUAUCUAGAAUUGCUUUAAUAGCUUCCAUAACUAAAAGGGAUAAAAAUGAAUUGUUUGGUUGUUGAAAAUAGCUUUUACCUGUCAGCACUUUAAUAAUUUUUUUUUUCUUUAAAAGCAAUGAAAAACAACUUUAUCACAUGUUGUUUUGUAUUUUUAAAUUAAAAUUAGCUAUAUGUUAAAAAUAGAUGUAAAAAAUAUGUGUGGAAAUAUAAUCCUCUAGCCUUUUGAUAUUCUCAACUCUCAAGUGUAUAAAAGAUCUUGAUUCUGGAGAAGAACAAAGGGGAUGUAGAGGCAUUUCGAUAUUGUUGUGGUGAUUCCGAACAUUUUCAACAUGUAGGUUGAAAAAUCUAAUGCGAAGUCUCUGCUGACCAAACUGUCUAGAAUAUAUGUGCAUUCUUCCUGCUUAUCGAGUUCUUGGUUACAUUGCUUGGCUGAUUAUCCCUUGUGCAAUAGACAUAAUAUAUAUGUUGAUAUUCUAUCUGUUGUUGUUAUAUAUAUAUAUAUAUAGAUAGAUAGAUAGAUAGAUAGAUAGAUAGAUAGAUAGAUAGAGAGAGAGAGGGAGAGGGAGAGGGAGAGGGAGAGGGAGAGGGAGAGGGAGAGGAAGAGGGGGAGGGAGAGAGAGAGGGAGAGAGGGGGAGAGAGAGAGGGAGGGAGAGGGAAAGGGAGGGAGAGGGAGAGGGGGAGAGAGAGAGGGAGGGAGGGAUGGAGGGAGGGAGGGAUGGAGGGAGGGAGGGAUGGAGGGAGGGAGGGAUGGAGGGAGGGAGGGAUGGAGGGAGGGAGGGAUGGAGGGAGGGAGGGAUGGAGGGAGGGAGGGAUGGAGGGAGGGAGGGAUGGAGGGAGGGAGGGAUGGAGGGAGGGAGGGAUGGAGGGAGGGAGGGAUGGAGGGAGGGAGGGAUGGAGGGAGGGAGGGAUGGAGGGAGGGAGGGAUGGAGGGAGGGAGGGAUGGAGGGAGGGAGGGAUGGAGGGAGGGAGGGAUGGAGGGAGGGAGGGAUGGAGGGAGGGAGGGAUGGAGGGAGGGAGGGAUGGAGGGAGGGAGGGAUGGAGGGAGGGAGGGAUGGAGGGAGGGAGGGAUGGAGGGAGGGAGGGAUGGAGGGAGGGAGGGAUGGAGGGAGGGAGGGAUGGAGGGAGGGAGGGAUGGAGGGAGGGAGGGAUGGAGGGAGGGAGGGAUGGAGGGAGGGAGGGAUGGAGGGAGGGAGGGAUGGAGGGAGGGAGGGAUGGAGGGAGGGAGGGAUGGAGGGAGGGAGGGAUGGAGGGAGGGAGGGAUGGAGGGAGGGAGGGAUGGAGGGAGGGAGGGAGAGGCUUCAAUAAAUUUUAACAUGUGUGCUUAUUUGUUGUUCAAUUGGAAAAUAAGGGUAGGUGUAUAAGCCAACUAAACCAGAGAGCACGUAGUGGAGGCCUAUGUUUCUAUCCCUUGCAAAAGCUAAGGAAUACAUGUAGUGGAGGCCUAUAUUUCUAUUCCCCGCAAAAGAUAAGGGAAACAUCUCUUAACUUGUUAGCAUGGACGCCGAUGUACUUGAAAAUAUGAUCUGCAAGGAGGCCAGAAAGAGAGAGUCGCUGCAAUUGCUUGCAUUGUUGCAAAUGGCCCCAAAACCAGCAUCAACUACAUGUAUUGCAAAUGACUUAAUACAGUAACUGCAUUUGUAAAAAAAUUGAGAAUAUCUCUUGUUAAAUUUUGCAUUUUUCUUUGUAGAUUACCCUUUUCCGAGUACUUGUGUCCUUAGAGGUGCAAAAAAGCUUUAAUCUUUGCAUCUGAAUGUGACAACCCUGAUUACCUAACCCUUGGACUGCUUGACACUGGUUUUGGGGCCAUCAUUCACCAUUGCAGGCAAUUGUGACGAUUUCCCCGUUCACGCCUCCACUACGUACUCCUCCAGUUGUGUAAGCCUUUGUAAUCUGGAGAGAAGAGACUGCCCCUUCAGCAACGAGUCUCUGUUGGUCAAUGUUGCAAAGCCGGACACGGUAGGAUAUCUUUAGAUGCCUUGUUGUUCAGUAAUUUAUGGAUCAGAAGUUACCAAGGGUUAAUGUGUGUAAUGUGUACUUUUGCUUUUCUUAAGUGUGUAGUGUGUACUGCUUUCUGUACACGUGUAGCACGAAUUUUAUGUCAAAAAAAAGAAGGAAAUAUCCCAAUUCAUAUUGACUCUCACACCUUCCGCUUUACUCUCCCUCUCUCCAUUGCAAUUUCCAUGGUAGUCAUUAGCGUGUGAAAUUCAACUUUGUACUCCCUUUUAAGAUAUUUUUGCUUAAUUAAUUUAACAAAAAAAUUUGCUCCCGUCAAUACUCUUAUGAAGCAAAUACACUCUUCUUCAACUGUCUAAGAAAUUCUAAUCAUUUGAUCAAUUUCAUUGUUCAUCCUUCUUAAAUUUUCUACUUCAAAUUUCAAGCUUUGCAAGUACUAAAAUGGGUGGACAGAACACACAAAAAAAUGACUUAGGCUUUUGACAUUUUAUUAGGAGCAAUCUCGAUGACAUUCAUACAAAUAGAGAAUCUGUGUUGAUCCUUAUUUCUGGUGCGUGUUUGUUCUAUUCUGGUGUGUUGCCUGGGCCUAUCUUAUUGGCCAUUAAACUUUUUGACCUCUCUUUCAAACUUUGUGAUUUGCAUCACUGAAAGAGGGAGAAAGAGUGUUGCUUCAGGCUUUAAAUGUCGUUUUUCCUUGCUGGUAAAGACGCUCUUUCUCCCUUGCUCUUUCAAUAAUGCGUCUGUCUGUUUUAAUUUGUAUAUUGUAACACCUUCUUGGUGCUUUCGGUUAUGAAUAUAUAUAUAUUCUUUGAAAUACUAAAAUCUAUUUCUGGCUAAUGUAAUGACUUUUUACAGAUAUCUGAUGCCAUCAACGUUUGGCAUUUUAACUUAAGACUAUCUACAUGUUGUAUCCCUAGAUAACUUUUUGCAUUCAUGUAUUUCUGCUGCAAAAUAGAUUCUAGGGUUAAGGUAACUAAUUUUCUAAUGGAUUUUAUAUGUAUCAUUUACCUAAUAUGGAUCUGAAAAGGGGGUUUAUGAGGAUAGAGUGUACGCAGACCUUACCUCUACCUCGAGUAGGUAGGAGACACCAGCUGAGAAAUGUUGUUUCCAACUACAUGGUAUGAAGCUACAAAUAAAGAGUUAAGUUUUAAGCUUCUAAUUAUCUCUACAUUUUUCUAAACAUUCUAACUUAUCUAAUUUUUUGCUUUCUUAUUUUAUAUUUUGUGUUAUAUGUGUACUUAUGACCCUUACAUAUGCCGUGUUUAUUAUGGUAUGUUUACUAUGCUUCAAUUAAAUUAAUAUUUUACCUCUUUGCCGUUCUCUUCUUUUGUUGCAGUGGUGUAAAGAAUAUAGUCAAGAGCGAAAGAAUUUAAUUACCUAAACUUGGUUUUUGUGAUUGUACUGUUGAAAAUAUAUUUAUAUGUAUAAUAGUAGAGUUAUUCAUUUAUUAAUCUCUCAAUAUACAUGCUCCAAUUUCUUGGAUAUGGAAGAAAAAUGGCAUUAGAAUGUACGAUUCUUUAGAAUAUGUAUUCACAAUAGUUCAAUCCUUUGAGCUGCAUGUUGAAUUUUUAGUCCACUGUCUUGGUGGUUCAAUAGCUAAUCCUUGGAAUUCAUCUGAUCCAUAAAUUUGAUUUGGGUAAUAACAUUAGUAUCAUAGUUUGGUAAUCUUUAUUUUUGCAAGUAUAUAGACAUUGUUAACAUAAAAAUGGACCCAUUUGAAUUGGUGGUAAGUGAGUGGAUAUCAAUAUUUUAAGAAAAAAUCAGAAAAUCACCCAAGAAUUAGAUCCAAAAUUGACAACACAUCUACCUCCAAUAGAAAUGAAAAUCAGGGGGAAAAGGGGUGAGAAAAAUAAGAAAAUCAAAAUCUGCAAAAUCAAAACAAAAGAGUGAGAAGAUUAAGAAAACUAAAAACUUAUAAGAAGAAAAGCAAAUAUUUUAAUCUGAAGACCAAAAGACUUACCAGUUUAAACCUUCUCUUGAAAGAGAUUGAAAGAGCUCUAAUUACCCUUAGCCUUAGAUCAGCCCAAAGCAAUCUCAAUUGCUCACACGUGGAAAUAAAAAGCCUUCACUUGUUAAUACCCAAUCAAAUUGAGCCACAAAGGGCCAAAAUUAUGAGGCCUUAUAGUACAACUUAAAAUGCUUUUGAUAUUAUAGUACAACUUGAAAUGCUUUUGCUACCAAACUCUGGAUUGAUUGUUAGAGGUGAACACUUUGCAUAUAAUAUAAAGAAAUAAUUAUUAUAUUAUACAGUUUUGUACAAUAAAUUUUUUAUUAUAGUCAUGUUGGGCCCGUGCGUUGCACGGGCAUCCCCAUCUAGUAAUAUACUACAUAUGCGAGUUGCAUUACCAAUAAAUUAAUACGUACUGAACACGUUUUAACUUUUCUAAAAUCAAAAUUUUAAAGUUUGGUUGUGCAUUUGAACAUAAUUUUUAAAUUUUUAAGAAUAAAAUUUAUAUAUUUGAACAUAAUUUUUAAAUUUUUAAGAAUAAAAUUUAUAUAUUUGAACAUAAUUUUUAAAUUUUUAAGAAUAAAAUUUAUAUAUUUGAACAUAAUUUUUAAAUUUUUAAGAAUAAAAUUUAUAUAUUUGAACAUAAUUUUUAAAUUUUUAAGAAUAAAAUUUAUAUAUUUGAACAUAAUUUUUAAAUUUUUAAGAAUAAAAUUUAUAUAUUUGAACAUAAUUUUUAAAUUUUUAAGAAUAAAAUUUAUAUAUUUGAACAUAAUUUUUAAAUUUUUAAGAAUAAAAUUUAUAUAUUUGAACAUAAUUUUUAAAUUUUUAAGAAUAAAAUUUAUAUAUUUGAACAUAAUUUUUAAAUUUUUAAGAAUAAAAUUUAUAUAUUUGAACAUAAUUUUUAAAUUUUUAAGAAUAAAAUUUAUAUAUUUGAACAUAAUUUUUAAAUUUUUAAGAAUAAAAUUUAUAUAUUUGAACAUAAUUUUUAAAUUUUUAAGAAUAAAAUUUAUAUAUUUGAACAUAAUUUUUAAAUUUUUAAGAAUAAAAUUUAUAUAUUUGAACAUAAUUUUUAAAUUUUUAAGAAUAAAAUUUAUAUAUUCAAAAAUUAUAUAAAAGAUAUUAUAAAUUACAAUAAUUAAUAUUUUAAAAUAUUUUUAAAAGGUAUAUAUAAAAUUAUGAUAAAAAAAUAUUGGAUAACUUGUGCAAAUCUCACUAAUUUAAUUAGAGUACCUAAAUUCAUAUUUUGGGUCUUAGAUAUAUGUAUCUGACUCUUCCAAAUACAUGUAUCAGAGAUACUUCCUUCGUUCCUUUUGGGCCUUAAUAAGGAGUGUUGUUUGACCUGUUAAUUCCAGAAUAAUUAACGUUCUGAGCAAAGUUUUUUAAAAAAAGAUGAUGAAUCCUUUCUUGAUUGUUUAGAUUGAUAACUAUUUUGGAUCAAAUAUUUUUAGUAUACCUGACAACUAAAAAGAAACAGAGGAAGUACAUGUAAGACAUAUACAUAUCAAUUAGUGUGUCUAAUUAAAAUAUCUAAUCGAAAAUCAUCAAUUAAUGACUCUAUAUAAUUAAAGGAUAUAACUGAAAAUCAUAAUUAAGAACGGUAUCUCAAAUUGAAUGAGUUUUUAUUUUCACCCUUAUUGAUCAUUUAAUUAAAAGCUAUGAAUUAAAAUAUUUUUAUCUAUAAUACAUAUAAAUUAAAAAACUUUUGUCUCGCUUGAUGUAAAUUAUAUAAGGGUUAAGUUACGGGCAUAAGUUUUGUAGUGUUUUUUUUUUUUAAUUUUGUUGUAAUAUUCAAAAAUUGAAGUUACAUCUUUUGGACAUAUUUUCUAAAUCUUUAUCAUUUUUAGAGAAAAUAUUUUGAUAAUUAGUAUAAAAUGGUAAAAUAUAUGUGUGAUUUUUUGUGUUUUGAUUUAUUUUUAAAAAAAUAAUUCAUUAUGUUCACUUAGCAUACAACACGACUUGUUAUGUUUUUUAUGUUAUAAUUUAUUAUGCUAUUCAUGAAUUCAUAACUUGUGAGUUAUUGCUCUCCCGUAUAUGACAUAACAAGGUAUGCAUGUCCUUUUCAAUAUAGCUUAUGCCAGAUAAGAACGAUAUUCAUUCUCACUGAUACGAACAUAUAAACUUAUAUCACAAUUUUGAUGUCAAAAAUAUAUUCAAACAUUUAUUUGUUAUUUAAAGUGUGAAAAAAAAUUAAUCUUUGAAAUAAAAAUUAAACAUCAUCCCAAAUUAAUGAAUUUAAGCAAACAAUUAAAUAAGAUAAGAAUAAAUUCAGUGACGGAUCCAGUGACUCAGACAUCAGCAAAAGGAGGCCCUCUUGACCUUUCACCUAAACCCGUGCCGGAAAGGCCCAAUGUCAAUUCCAAAAAAUAGAAAAGCUUCAAAAGGUGUCUUGGUACAGAUAAUCUGCAUCUUUAACGGACAUUGAUUAGAUCAUGAGUAUGCACAACAAAAUACUAUAGCUCUUUUUCUAUGUUUGGAGGUUUCUAUUAUUAUUAGCUCAGAAAAUAAUGUAAAAUGGAAGUAAUCGAAGAUUAAGAGCUUGUUUGGCCAUAAAUAUAUGUGGAAAAAAAAAUCUGAGAAUUAGUGUUUGACCAUAUAUAUAUUUAUCGUUACUUAACAAAUAUAUUUGACAAACAUCUCAAGUUCUAGAAAAAGAAAAUAGAAUUUUGGCUAAAUUCUAGUAUUUGGGAAUUUUAAAUUUUUAAAAUUGCUAAUAUUCUAUAAAUACCCAACAUUUAUAGUUUUGGACUAAAUUUCAUUCCUAGUUUGUUUAUAUACAUAUUUUAUUCAAUUUUAUCCGAGGUCGCUCUUUGAAGUCACUUCCAAUUACAAGUAAUAAUAGUAGUUUUCGAUAUACAAUCAGUGGUAUCGUUCUUGGGAAAAUCGUAUAUAAUAGCAAACUAUUAAUUCAAAUUAAAUGCUAUAAAUAUAGUUUGAUUUAAUUGUACCUCAUAGCAAAAUGUUGUUAUUUCACCUCUCUCCUGGUGAAUCUCGCUCGCCACUCUCGUUCUCUCCCUCGCCUCUCUCGUUUUUUAUACAAACGCAAGUGUAUAAAGUGUGUUUGUGUUUGUAUAAAGCGAGAGAAAAUUGUAUAUAUACAUUCCCCUCUCCCAGAUCUCGCUUGCCACUCUCCCAGAUCUCUCUCUCUCACUCGCCUCUCUCACUUUAUACAAAACGCAAAUGUAUAAAAUGCGUGAAAAUUGUAUAUAUACAUAUAUUUUCGUUCCCCUCUCCCAGAUCUCGCUCUCUCACUUGCCUCUCUCAUUUUAUAUAAAAACGCAAAUGUAUAAAAUGCGUGAAAAUUGUAUAUAUACAUAUAUUUUCGUUCCCCUCUCUCCCCUCUCCCAGAUCUCGCUCGCCACUCUCCCAGAUCUCGCUCUCUCACUCGCCUCUCUCACUUUAUACAAAAACGCAAAUGUAUAAAAUGCGUGAAAAUUGUAUAUAUACAUAUAUUUUCGUUUCCCUCUCUCCCCUCUCCCAGAUCUCGUUCGUCACUCUCCCAGAUCUCACUCUCUCACUCGCCUCUCUCACUUUAUACAAAAAACGCAAAUUGUAUAAAAUGCGUUUGUGUUUGUAUAAAGCGAGAGAAAAUUGUAUAUAUACAUAUAUUUUCGUUUCCCUCUCUCCCCUCUCCCAGAUCUCGUUCGUCACUCUCCCAGAUCUCACUCUCUCACUCGCCUCUCUCACUUUAUACAAUUGAUCUUUUUGUAUAUGUAUACCAAAGCAGAUUAUACAACUGCUUUCUUUUGUAUAUGUAUAACGAAAUAUACAUAUAUAUGUUUGCUAUGGAGCGCAAUUAUGCAAACUUUGCUAUAACAUACAAAUAUGAAUUUUGUGUUUGCUAUAUGUGAAAGUUGCUCAUAUUUCUUUUGUUUUUCUUUCCUCUUUUUUUCAAAUUCAUAUUAAUUAUGUUUGUUGCCAGAGAGAUGAUGUUAUUAUAUGAUAGUCAAUCUAAAAAUUUCAAAUACAAAUUUAAUACACACUGAUGAUGAGCAUCUACUUCUAAAAAAUUACAAAUACAUUAUGAUAAAUUGCACCUUCAAUAUGUAGAGAAUUUUUUUUUUUAACUAUCAGUUUCCUCCAUCAUUUUUGUCCUUGUUAUCAGCAUACUUUUGAAGAUUUUCACCAUGCAAUUUGCCAUAUCUAAACUCAUCAAAAAUUUCAACUCCCAUAUUUAUGUAAAAAUCAUAUGACUUCUUAUUCCAAACUGCUACUAUUCCCUCUACCGAUACGAACCCAUUGUUGGCAGCAAUAGAUGCAACUGUCCCAAACAACAAACUCCCCAUUCCCAACUUUCUAUAAAUCUCUCUGAAGUAAAGACUUUCAAAAUAAAAUCCAGGCUUGUCAUAAAAGCACGAAUAAUUCGCGUAAAAGAAAGCAUAUCCCGCUAUGUAAACAUCACUCUUAUCAUCAUAUUUUGAUUGGAACUCCUCAACUUGUCCUUCCACCACAGGGAAUUUAAGGUCGAACGUUGUAAGGACGGGCUUGAACCCUUCGUCCGUGGUAUUUUUAGGUUCGUUAAAAGGUGUUGGAGAGACUUCGAGUAGAAGUACAGAUGGCCCGUAGAAAAGUGGAAGAGGGUUUUCUUUAAAGAGCAAGUUAGCUAAGGAGGACUCGGUAGCUUUGUAUAAAUGAGUGUUCUUAUGGUAUGCAUGGAUUUGGUAAAAUAAUUGGUAUAUAUGAGACAGAUCGGAUUUCGUAGCGAGACGAAGUCUUGUGUAUAUCUUUCCGGUGAUGGUAACGUUGUUGUUUUCCGAUGAUGCAUCGUCGGUGGUUAUUGUUUCAGAUAGAGAUGAAGCCAUGGUAAUGAGGCAAGCUUGAAGAGCUAGGUAAGAAAAGAGUGUAGGAAAUAUUGAAAGGACUAUGAAGAAG